Helianthus annuus (common sunflower) is the source of this 520-nucleotide long non-coding RNA. RefSeq lists it as uncharacterized. The transcript has 2 exons. The record is from RefSeq and is a predicted model, not a curated record. NCBI's taxonomy places the organism in Eukaryota, Viridiplantae, Streptophyta, Magnoliopsida, Asterales, Asteraceae.
CUCUCUCUCUCUCUCAUAUAUCUCUUUUAUCUUUUGAUUAGAUAUUGUCUUUUCAUCCAUUCGAACCUGCAUAUCCUCUUCUCUCUCUCUUAUUCCUUUCUUCCUCAGACACAACUCAAACCUGCAUAUCCUCUUCUCCGUCGAAGCCACGAGAUCUGAAGAUUGAAGAUCAAAGUCACCAGAUCUGAAGAAUCCAUUUCUCAAAGCCACCAUUGAAGCCACGAGAUCUGAAGAUCGAAGCCACCAGAUCUGAAGAUCAAAGAUCGAAGAUCGAAGCCACCAUGUGUUCAUGUAGUCAUCCCUUUCUUUUGAAGCCACCAGAUCUGAAGAUCGAAGCCACCAUCGAAGCUCUCAAAGAAAAGUAGUAAGGUGAAUGGAUGUUUUGUGCUCAAGAUGAAGAUGGUUAUCUUAUGAUAGUUUUUGGAUAUUUUUAUAUAUUUAAGUUCAUAUAAAACACUUAUGUUAAGUUUAAGUUUGAUUGUAAUGUUUUUUUAUAAUAUAUACAAUCUAUUUGUCCCUU